This 13592-nucleotide long non-coding RNA is filed under the name Brassica napus (rape). RNAcentral describes it as "long non-coding RNA (BNAP_LNC009348)". The record is from RNAcentral. Lineage: Eukaryota; Viridiplantae; Streptophyta; Magnoliopsida; Brassicales; Brassicaceae.
GUAAAUACCCUUUAUUAUUCUUCGAAAUGUAAGGAAGCAUUAAAAAAGAAAGGGCAGACUAAGGUAAAAAGGACAAUAGAAUCCUGCUUUAAUAGUAUAGAUACUAAAACACAUAUUUAAAAUCUAUAGAUGUAAACCUUACAUUUUGGGAGGAGAAGAGAACAACCAUAGAAGAAAAUACCUGCAAAAUAAGAUACAAUUAUUAAAAAACAUAGAAAAUAAAAUUAAUGUCAUAUUUUUGUAGACUGCUUAAACUUGUGGGUUUAGUAAACUUCAUAUGAAAUCUACUAGAUUUAGUUUAUAAGCAGACUUCUUUAGAAGAUUAAUUUUCAGAUCUGAAAAAAUAUAUACUUUUUGAAAUGUGAAAAUAAUUUUAAAUCUGAAAAUACUUUACAAUAUAGAAUUUAUAAGAUAAAAUAGUAGCAAGUUAAUGCACAGAGCUUGAUCUAUAAAUUUAUUUGAAUAUAAACAUAUAAAUACAUAUUUAAAAUCUAUUAAUCUAAAUCUUACAUUUUUAGAGGAGAAGAUGAAAUCCAUGAGUGAUAAUACCUACAAAAAAAAAAGAUAAUAUUGUGAGAAAUAAAUAACAUAAAAAUACACAUUUAAAAUCUAUAGAUCUAAACUUACAUUUUUUAAAGGAGAAGAUGAAAACCAUGAAUUAUAAUACCUAAUAUGUCAAGAUAAUAUUGUGAGAAAGACUUGAGAAAAUUUUAGAGAGAAAUAAAAGAAAUGAGAGAGUUUUAGAGAGAACAGAGAGAAGUUUAGAGAGAAGGGAGAGAGUUUUAGAGAGAAGUAAGAGAGUUUAAAAAACUUGUGCAGCCACUAUAGAGAGAGAGUGUAUAAAUUUUAUUUAUAUAUAGAGACAAAAAUGUAACCAGGUUAAAAUUUAUCAGACUGUAGACUUCUUUUUGAAGUCUACUAAAAUUAAAAUUUUAGAGUAGAUUUUACCGUAAUAUAGUAGACUUUUUUGAAAGUCUGCUAUACUAUAAUAAUUUCAUUAUUGUUGCUUAUUCUUUAUUAUUUUAAUAAUUUUAAUAUAUGAUUUACUAAAUUUAUUUCUUUAUUUUUUAAUAGUUAUAGUAUAUGAUUUCACUAUUUUACUCUUAAGGAACUCAACUAAUUAGUUUAAAUAUAAUGAUUUUUGUAAAAAAAAGUUGAAAAAUGUAGACUGAAAAAGAUGUCACCACCUAAAUAGACUUUAUUGUAGGUCUACGAAACCCUAAACCACAAAUCUCAAACCCUAAAUGUUCUGCUUUAUAAUAAAAAGGUCUUAAUUAUUGUAUCAAAUAUCAAAUUAUACAAAAUAUAAAAUACUAAACAUUAAUAUACAAAUUUAAGUCAAUAAAAAAAAUCUAAAUCUAAAUCUAACCCUAAGAAAUCUACCACUAGAAUACAUAACAUGUUAUAACAUUUUGUUUCUAAACCAUAUUGUCUAACACAUGGUUACCAAAUUAGAAGAUAUUCUUUAAAGUUGUUCAAUUAUAUAAAAUUGUAAUUUAUUUACUUCAUAUUGAUCAUUAUAUUGAGGGCUUUUUGAAAAAGUGACUCAAAACUUGAAGUCAAACAGAAAACUAACAUUUUCUUUUGACUCCUUUUUUUUUUGAGAUUUUAACCCCACACCUGCAUUUUAUCUACGAAAAUGCCAUUAACAUUUUUUUUUCUUUUUUUCGAAAAUGGCUUCUUUACUGUCUCAACCUCAUCUUCUUCAAGUAUUUACAAUAUUGCCACUGCAAUGAAUAGUGGCAACAACCUUGUACGAACUGUUUGGAGCUUUUAAUGCCCUUUAAUGCACGUAAAUCUCUUUACACUCUCUCUGUUUCAAUUGUUAUGAACUAAAAACAACAUUUCUUUCACUUUCUCUCUAUAUUCAUCCAAAAAACUCAAGCUUUUGAUUCAAAAUAUGGGCUAUGGUUGACAGAGCCAUAUUUCUUUCGUUUUGACUUACGGUUGCUUUCGUUUGAGGUUCUGGGUGGUUGGAGAAGACCCUGUGUGCAAACGAAGUCAUCUCACCUAGUUUAAGGUACGAAUUUGAAUUUUUUUUCAAGAUCUGUUCGCGUAGAAGACUUACUAGUAAGUCAUCUGUAUGUAGAAGACUUACUGAUGAGUCUUCUGGUCAAACGGACGACUUAAAUUAAGUCGUCCAGCUUUGUUUGUUAAAAAAAACACUCCAGACGACUUAUAUAUACGUCGUCUACGAGAAACGGGCUAGUUUUGCAUUUGACCGAAUCGUGUCAGAUCUUUGACUAUUUCUGGACGACUUAUAAUUCAGUCGUCUCUGGGAAAGUUAAAAUUUCAAUAUUUUAUGAAAACUUGACGACUUACGUGUAAGUCGUCCUAGGUUAGUUUUGUAAUUGAAAAAUAAAACUUCAUAAUUUAACUUUAACCAGACGACUUAAUAUAAAGUCGUCCCUCCAGAAGACUUAAUUUAAAGUCGUCCGGGGAAAGCAAAGUCGUCCAGAAUUUUUCCCAAUUUUCUGGUCAAACCUUGCUUAUCCCGGACGACCUUAAAUUAAGUCGUUUAGCUGGACGACUUUCAUCUAAGUCGUCUGGAGAAAGUUAAAUUUCAAGUUUUAUUUUUCAAUUACAAAACUAACCUAGGACGACUUACACGUAAGUCGUCAAGUUUUCAUAAAAUAUUGAAAUUUUAACUUUCCCAGAGACGACUGAAUUAUAAGUCGUCCAGAAAUAGUCAAAGAUCUGACACGAUUCGGUCAAAUGCAAAACUAGCCCGUUUCUCGUAGACGACUUAUAUAUAAGUCGUCUGAAGUUUUUUUUUUAACAAACAAAGCCGGACGACUUAGAAUUAAGUCGUCCCUUUUAAUUUUCAAUUGCAAAAGUGACCUCUUUAGACGACUUACCUUUAAGUCUUCUGGACGACUUAAUGCUAAGUCGUCUGCGGCAAUGUUUAUUGAACUUCUUCAUUUUCUCUAUGUUUACUAAUGUGUUUUAUUUUGAAUAUUUGCAGAUGAUUUUUCAGUUACAUGCAGUGUAUGGAGAAUGGUUGUUGAGAGAUUUCCGUUGGGAUUUUGUGGUUGAUGAUCUCAAAGGAGCAAGAUUGUUUUUAUUGAAUGAAGAUUCAACACAUGCUGAACUUGUUGCAAUGGCUCAAGAAGAUUAUAACCUGGACAUGAGAACAGUGAGUGUGGAGAUUAGCUACUCAUUACCAGCAGAAAUGAUGAUGGCUCCAGGCAGUCUUCCCAUUCAUGUUACAAGUGAUAGACAAGUUCGAAACUUGCUGGAGAUACUCAAAACCCAUAGAGUAUGUCUUUGUGUAUCAAGCCGCAGCAAGGUCGAAACGGUUUCAGAGAAAAGGGAUAUUGAUGAAGCUGGUGAAUGGGAAAAAGAUGUUGGUGAUAAUGAUGAAGCUGGUGAAUGGGAAGAAGAUGUUGGUGAUGAUGAUGAAGCUGGUGAAUGGGAAGAAGAUGUUGGUGAUGAUGAUGAAGCUGAUGAAUGUUUUGAAGAUGUUGGUGAUAAUGAGUUUGUUGAAGAUGAAAAUCAAGAUGGGGAGGAGGAAAAUGGGGAGGAGGAUGCUGAUAAUUCUAUUGUUGGUGAAACGGAUCAGAAUGGUGGGGAUUACAGUCUUUAUGGAAAGGUUCCAGAUGAGGACGAGGAAGAUGAUGAUAAUAUUUGUUUUGAAGAAAUCCAAAAGACAUAUGCUAAGACAAAUGCUAUUGAAGGAGGAAAAUCGAAUGGUACCAGUAUCUAUGUCAACCAGAGUUUUGUUAGCAAGGGUGCACUGCUUUCAGAGCUGCGGUUGGCAGCAGUGAGGGGUAAGUUUUCUUUCAGAUUAUACAAAUCAACGAAAACUCUCGUUGUGGCAACAUGUCCGGUUAGCUAUUGUGGAUGGAAGGUCAGAGCGAGUGUCAAACAUGGGACAAACACGUUUUGGGUAACAAAGUAUGUGGAAAAACAUUUAUGCUCAGCGGGAGACCGAAUCGCUCAGCGGAGACACUGUACUCCGAAGUAUGUAGGUAGUCUUUUCAUUGAUCGUGUUGGAAUCAUUGAUGGGAUAACUCCGCAGCAUAUCACUGAUGCAAUGAGGAACAUGUUUGGCAUGGCGCUUGAUUACACCACUUCAUACAGAGCACUGUUAUAUGCACAAAGAUUGGUGAGAGGAUCAGCAGAAGAAGGGUAUUCGCGUCUGGCAUCAUAUCUCGAGCAAAUCUCCAUUGCAAAUCCUGAUUCUAUCACGGCGAUAGAACUUGAUUCUAUGAAAAGAUUUAAGUAUCUAUUUCUCUCUUUUGGAGCUUCUAUCAAAGGUUUUAAGUAUCAGAGAAGGGUCAUUGUGGUGGAUGGAACUCACCUAAGUGGAAAGUAUGGAGGAACUAUGUUAGUUGCAGCCGCACAAGAUGGCAAUUUUCAGAUAUUCCCAUUGGCUUUUGGGAUCGUGGAUGAGGAAGAUAUACCUUCUUGGGAAUGGUUUUUCACAAAAUUGGCUAGUUGUAUAUCUCAUGACAAGCCUCUGGUGAUAGUCUCCGACCGGCACAAGGCCAUUAAAAGUGCGUGUGAUAAGGUGUUUCCUUGGGCAACCCGAGGAAUAUGUUAUUAUCACCUUCAAGAUAACAUUGUCAAAAAGUUUAAAGGGAAACAUCUCAUGUACUUGGUGAAAGGGGCUGCUUAUGCUCACACGGUUUACGAUUUUGACCGGUACAUGGCUGAGAUACGGAGUGCAAACCCGGAACUUGCAACGUAUUUGGAGAAAGCCGACGUCAGGCUAUGGUCAAGGGUUUAUUGUAAGGGGAACAGGUUCAACAUAAAAACAAGCAACAUUGCUGAAUCUAUUAAUUCCGCACUGAAGCGAGCAAGAGGAUUUCCGAUUACGUUCCUGCUGGAGUUCAUAAGGCAGAAGUUAGGAAAAUGGUAUUGGAAAAGGAGACAAGAUGCUUUGAGUCUCACAACUGAACAUAGCGGGGGUGUUGAAUACUUGCUUGCUGUUCGAGAAGAGAUAGCGGGUACGAUGACGGUCGAACCAAUUGAUGGAUGGCAUUUCUUUGUCAAAGGUGGCAAAAUGGACUGUGUGGUUGAUUUGGAACAUGCAAAGUGUGAUUGUGGUGUCUAUGGAGUGGAGAAAAUACCUUGCUCUCAUGCUAUAGCUGCUGGAAUACAUGCUGGUUUGCAUAUCUCCACACUUGUAUGUCCACUGUACUCAAAGAAUUAUCUGUAUGCAGGAUACUCAGAGAAUAUAUAUCCUAUCGUGUCACAACAUAUUGAGGAACGAGAAUGCUUUCCUCCAGAACUAAAGCGUGGUCGGGGGAGACCGAAGAAAUCAAGAUGGCAAUCUUGGUUGGAGCUAUCUAGGAUGAGAGGACACAAACCCAGGAAGAAACACAGGGCACGGAGAUGCUCAAACUGCAAGGAAACUGGCCAUACGAAACCACAAUGUACACAACCAGUUGACUAGUUGUCCAGACGACCUAAAUUUAAGUCGUCCAGUCUUGAUUACCCGUCCAGACGACUAAAUUUUUAGUCGUCCAGUGUAUUUUAUUUUUAGACGACCUUCUACUAAGUCGUCCAGUGUAUUUUAUUUUUAGACGACCUUCUACUAAGUCGUCCAGUGUAUUUUAUUUUUAGACGACCUUCUACUAUCCCUUCAAGUGUAUUUUAUUUUUAGACUACCUUCUACUAUCCCUUCAAGUCGUCCAAACCUUCUAGACGACUUAUUUGUAAGUCGUCCAGUUGGAAAACCUUCCAGACGACUUAUAAUAAGUCGUCCAAACCUUCUAGACGACUUAUUUGUAAGUCGUCCAGUUGGAAAACCUUCCAGACGACUUAUUUCUUCCAGACAACUUAUAUAUUUACAAAUCUAUACAAAGACAAGCUGAAAUACAAAUACUUCGCUCGUUAAAAAAUCAUGUUCAAAUACAAAGACAAGUUCAAAUACAAACACAAAUCUAAUCAUACAUGCCCACGAACUUAUCACCAUCCACAUUUUCUUUCAGAUGCUGAUCAACAAGCUCCUUCCAUAUAUCCACCGCCAUAUUAUCCCUCAUUUUCUUCGCGUUGCACCUAGCAAAGUCUUUAGGGUCAAAGGAGACCCCAAGAGCAUGACAUUCAAUGUACUUUACAGCGUACACGCCACAAUCACCAUUGUUGGCCGUGGGUACACCUUUCAGCGGUCUCUCAUAUGUGUAUGGCUCCAACCCGUAUUUGACCCGUAUUUCGUCGGUGGCUGCGCACUCAACAAGCAGAUAAGGGACCAUCUGGAGAAAAGGCUCCAUUAUCGCAUCCCAUGCGUCUGGUACACUAGAUGAAGGUAUGCUGUCCCAGACGACUAUGUGCCUCUUAGGGAUCGAUAUCCAAAUAGCAACCCAAUGCUUGUCGUCCAAGUUCACUGGCGCAUAGAUAUCAUCAAUGUCCUCCCCCCACUUCUUGUUUGAUUGGCAAAAUGAAGGUAUUGAUCCGUCAUAAAAAUUCGACGCCCCACCAGGUAGAACUCUUCCUAAACCUUUGUGAUCAGGUUCCGAUGUUUUGAAGAGCUGAUACUGCUCUCUCCAAGACUGGGAAAAGUUGUGAUCCAGGAAGCACAUUCGCUCGCUCCUGAAAGCUUGUGGGUUCUCCUGAUACCUCUGCCUUAGCACAUUAAUCCAAGCAUCUAUAUGCUGCAUAUUAAAUAUAACAAGUUAGAAGUUACCAGACGACUUAAAUAUAAGUCGUCUACGUGGUCGUCCAAGUAGACGACUUUCCAGACGAUUUAUCUUUAAGUCGUCUGGAAAGUAGUCUACUUGGACGACUUUGUAGACGACUUAAAUCGUGUGCAGAAGACUUACGCAGUCUUCCAGCCAUCCUCUGGCUGUCCGGAGGAAGUGGUACCACCUUGUUGGUGAUGUACGUGGUUUGUCCUCGGUCUUAGUUAAAUAAUGACUGCAAACAAAAAAGCAAUCAGUUUUGGACGACUAAAUCAAGCUAUUAUGGGUAAAGCAAUCACUUACGGAUCAGUUUUCAACCAAUCAGCGAGUUCCUUCAACUUAUCUUUGUUUACUGGCGGAAAUGGAUUAUAGGCUGCCACUUUAUCUUUUUUUUUCUCUGCCGUAUAAGGAGAUCUCACAGUGGGAGCAGGUUUCUUCGCUCGUUUACUCUUUGCACGCUUGUCCAAUACAACCAGGCUCGGUUCUGAAACUGGAUCGCUUGGCUCGGUGGAAGCGAGGCUCGGUUGUUGAUCGGUGGAAGCGAGGCUCGGUUGGUGAUCGGUGGAAGUGACAGCAACAAUCUCUUUGGAGGUGACACCAUCUGCUUUAUCCUCCGGCAAGAUCUUAUUUACCGAGUUCGCCUCGGUUGCUGUAUCCUCCGGCAACCAUCUCUGCAAUAAAAGUUGCACACAAGUUAACCCUGGACGACUUAAAUAAAAGUUGUCUGGACGACUAGUUGACCCUGGACGACUUAAAAAUAAGUCGUCUGGACGACUAGUUGACCCUGGACGACUUAAAAUUAAGUCUUCCGUGGUCAACUAGUCGUCCAGACAACUUACGUUUAAGUCGUCCAGGGUCAACUAGUCGUCCAGACAACUUUUACAGUCGUCUGGACAACUAGUUAACCCUGGAUUUGAUACUAACCUCUUUGAUUUGAGGAGGCUGUUUCUUUUGAGGAGGAGGCUGUUUCUUUUGAGGAGGAGGAGGCUGCUGUUUGGUUUGAUGAGGAGGAGGCUGGUUACUAACCACGGUUUCAUUGGCAUGAGGGGUAGCCUGUUUGUUACUACCCCCGGUUUCUUUGGCAAGAGGGGUAGGCUGUUUAUCUUGAGGGGUAGCCUGAUUGGUUAGAGGUGGAGGGGUAGCCUGAUUGGUGACACCAACCUUCUUCUCCACAGCUUCCAAUCUAUCGGACAACUUCCUAAACUCCCUCAUGCACUUAUUAAACCCUUUUUUCAUGCAGUCAGCUACGCCCUUGAACAUAAUUUCCAACUCCUCUCUGGUCACCCCUCUAGCCUCUUCUCUAGCCUCUUCACUAGCCACUUUAGGAGCCUCUUUACGAGCUUUCUUCCGAGGUCUUGGAUUGUCUUCCUCCUCCUCCUCCUCCUCCUCCAACACAACCAUCUCUUUGGCCUUCUUCGAUGGAGUCACAACCUUAGGUUUUGUAUUGACCUUAGUACCAGUGACUUCCCAGCAAUCCAUGGUCCACUUCCACGGUCUCCGCUCAUACAUGACUUUAAUGAUGUUCUCCGCGGGCAGGUCCUCAACCUCAGAGUCCCAUUUUGGCCACAUUUCACUAAUGUCCUUCUCAACAAAGUUGAUCACGCGGGUCUGCAGUAAAUAGAAGAAUCGAGUUAGAUAUUUGAAAAAAAAUACUAAAUAGACGACUUAAUUAUAAGUCGUCUACUAAGUCGUCCAGCUGGAAGACCUUCCAGACGACUUAUAAUAAGUCGUCUAAUAAGUCGUCCAGAUGGAAGACUUUCCAGACGACUUAAUUAAGUCGUCCGAUAAGUCGUCCAGCUGGGAAGACUUUCCAGACGCCUUAUUAUAAGUCGUCUAAUAAGUCGUCCAGAUGGAAGACCUUCCAGACGACUUAUAAUAAGUCGUCUAAUAAGUCGUCCAGAUGGAAGACUUUCCAGACGACUUAAUUAAGUCGUCCGAUAAGUCGUCCAGCUGGGAAGACUUUCCAGACGCCUUAUUAUAAGUCGUCUAAUAAGUCGUCCAGAUGGAAGACUUUCCAGACGACUUAAUUAAGUCGUCCGAUAAGUCGUCCAGCUGGGAAGACUUUCCAGACGACUUAUUAUAAGUCGUCCGAUAAGUCGUCAAGCUGGACGACCUUCCAGACGACUUAUAAUAAGUCGUCUGCGCAGUCUUUUGGAUUGAAGUAAAUACCUGACUCAAGAUAGCAGCUUUCAUUGAUCUGCGGCCUCUGCUGCCCUCGUAAGCCAGUAUCGGUGGAGACGGACUGUCUGCUCUGGGACCACCAAUACUAGCACCCAAUUCCGGCAUAGCUGUGUACGUCCAGACUUGAAGAACUUGUAUAAACCCAUCCACAGUGUAACAGCCAGCAAUUUCUUUGUUCCACAAAGAGUCCAUCAGCACCUUAAACGCGACUCUCCCCCAUGGAUAAUUCUCAAACCGUUCUAAAUCCAUCACUAGCCUUGCCAGAGUAGAUCGUGUAGCGGUUGAAAACUUUCUCCCUUCAAUGAAUCCAGUGAAGAUGGAGAGGUACGCGAGCCGCUUGCGAUCUUCCCUGGACCAAUCCCCGCAUCUCUUCAGUGCUGCUAUUAUCUGAUCAGUAGUUGGCCCAGCUUCCAGAUGAACUCCCAGCAUCCCCCAGAAAGAAACCAUCUCUGGGGUAACGUCACAUUUUGGUGUCUCAAGGUCCUCGAUGUACUCGCAGUUUAGACCAGUGAGGUUUUCAAACUCUAACAGUGAAAACCUCAAAGGUUCUGGACCAACGAGAGACCACAUCUCAUACUUCUUCUUAAUGUCCAGCUUGAAACUGAGCAUGUAGUGAACCAGCCUUGAAGCCCAACCAAAUCCCUGCUCCUUGAACUUGAUGAAAACUCCCAAACUCGACUCCUUGAGCUCUUCAAAUUCGUCAUCAGUAAGAGCUUUCCUAAGAGCAGUAUGCAACUUGCUGUUAUCCGUAUGAUACGAAAUGCUAUUGUGGGCUUCUGGCUCUUCCCCUGAUGUGUAUAACCUACGGGGGAGUUCUGGAAUAUCCAUCCUUUUUGUCUGCAAAAUAAUCAAAGACAACAAUAUAAGUCCAGACGACUUAGUAGACGACUUAUAAUUAAGUCGUCUGGAAAGUCUUCCAAAUGGACGACUUAUAUUUAAGUCAUCUACUAAGUCGUCCAGUUGGAAGACUUUCCAGACGACUUAAAUUACUUACAAGUCUUCCAGUCGCAGAAGGAGUUGGAGUACUCGUCAUUGCGGUUAUAGAUCUGAAAAAAUAAACGUGAAACGGUGAGAAUGAGUAAAUUGAUAGAGACAACGUUUUAUGUUCAUCUUUUCCUCGAGAUUGAUGACUUAGCGGCGUUAGGGUUUACAGAGAAACGGCGCUAAGGUUUACAGAGAAGAAGCGGCGGCGCUAGGGUUUAGAAGAAGCGGCGGCGCUAGUGUUUAGAGGAAGCGGCGGUGAGAACGUUGGUGACCACGGUGGCGAGGGCGACGGUUUGUUCGGAAAUAGUGGAAGCGGCGGCGCUAGGGUUUAGAGGAAUCGGCGGCGCUAGGGUUAGAAGAAGCUGCGGCGACAACGGUGAGAAUGAAGUGAGAUAGAUAGCCGACGUUGAGAACGAUGGUUUGUUCGGAAAUCGUGGGAAUUCGAAAUCGCCUUUGAGAGAGAACUGUUAGGGUUUCUGAAUUUCGCGAAAAAUGAAACAAAAAAAAUAAAAAUCACCUUAUAUAUUGGGUAAAUAAUCCGGUUAGCUUUAAAAGUACAUUGGUAAACUUUAAGGUUUGGUCCGGUUUAGACGACUUAUUCUGGCUGAUAAUGUACAACAGACGACUUAAUAUUUAGUCGUCUGUUUUCAGACGACAAAAUAUUAAGUCGUCCUAGACCCUAAAAUGAACCCCUAAACUAAAAUGACUAGAUUAACUAACUAACCACGUUAUAAAAUCAAAUUAUACUUAAAUAGUGUUUACUAUACACAGAAAUGAACACGCAUAAGUAAUUUUAAAAAUUUUCAAAAACGGUUUUAAUGCUUUCCAAAAUCUAACCCUAAGAACACAUACAAUACUACAACAUAUGUUGAUGAAACAUAAACUAAAGAAUAUCAUGACUCACUACUUUCACUCAUCUAUGCUGAAAACAAUUGAAAUUUGUUAUAUCUUAAUUUAUACCUCCUAAGACAUAUGUUAAUUACAUAAUUCCCAUUUUUCACUUAUCAAAAUAUUUUUUACAAAAUUUUUAAAUUAUGUUUAAGACUAACUGUCCAGACGACUUUCAGUUAAGUCGUCUGGACGACUUAUUUUCAAGUCGUCUAAACAGACGACUUGCGAGGGGUAGAAACGUAAAAAAAAUUCCGUUUUUUUGUUUGGUCACAAGGGGAUAGUUGUAAUUUCAAUAGCCUUUUAGGUUACUUUUGCCUUUGACCCAAGUUGGGGUAUUGUUUUGGGUUUGACUCCAAGUUCUGAGUCACACUUGGCAAUUCUCCCUUAUAUUGAUGAUUAAUUAACUAUAUGACAAUAAUUAUUUUUAUACAUUUCUAAAAUUAAAUUAUUUGAUCAAAUUACGCUGUAGUCUACAGAAUAAGUCUAUACAGUAGACUUCUUAGGAGGUCUACAUAUAUGUAGACUUACUAAUGACAUAAUUGUAAAAUACAUUUCUGUUUUUUUGUUUGGUCAUAAGGGUUAAAUAGUAUUUUUUACUACUCCUUUAAGUUGAUUUUGCAUUUGACUGAAAAUGGGGUAUACUUUUAGGUUUGACAUGAAUAUUUGGGUUGGUUUUAGCAAUUCUCCCAGAGAUAAAUACAUUACUCAUUUAUUUUUUACUCCAUGCAAAAUAAAGGAAUAAACAAAAGAUAAAUGCAUGUCCUAUGCAAAAGUAACUCCAUUUUAAUUUCAUUAUAGAGUUGGAAAUUGAGUAGAGUUAAAAUAUUUCUUACUUCAAAUUAUGUUUAGAAAUGAUAAUAGAAUGAGGUUAUAGAUACUUUUAUUUGCUUUGUCUUGACGGUUUUUGCUUAGACUACUUACAAUGGACAUGUUGAAUAUUUUUUUAAACUGUUGAAUACUUAUCGUGAGCCUGUUGAAAAAGGUAAAAACAUUACGUGAAUUGUUUGCUGUUGAAUUUAUUCAACAUGUUGAAAGUCAAAAAAAUGGAGUCCACAACAAUUUUUGUUGUUUUUUUACUGGUUGUUGAUAUUAAUUAGAUUUUUCAUAUUCACCUUCUUUAUUAUAACUCAUUUAUUCCACAUCAAAUUUAUUUAUUUAUUUUUUUACAUUAUAUCAAAAUUUAUAAUUUUUAAUGAUCUGCACUAAAUCGAGACUAGUUUUAUAUGGCUUGGACAUAUACAAAAAAAAAUCUUUUAUCAUAAGUUUUAUACAUGUUCAGUCAAAUCUAUUAUAUUUUUAUUAAAUAUUUUAUAAAAUUUCAACUCUAACUAUUUUUAUUUAAUUUUAUUAAUUUUAUUUUUUUAAAAAAAUUGUUUAUGUUUUAAGUGUUAUUACUUAGUUACAAAAUCAAAAGAUGAAAUAGACAUAAAUAGAUAAGAUGCUGAUUUUUUUUAUAAAAAUCAUUAUGAAAUAUAAAUAUUAAAUGUAUACGUGGAAGAAAAAGAAGAUGAUGUGUUAAAGUAAAAGUAUAAAAUAUGGUGUUGAAUUUUUGAUAUUUUUGAUAGGCCUGAUAUUUAUUGGUAUUAGCUUUUUAUUUCUUUUGAUGUUUGUUCAGUUUCAGGAUUUCUCAUUUAUUUUGUUUAAAACUUUAAUCCUUACGGAUUCCAUCUAAAAUGGAUCCAAUGAAUUCAAUUUUAAAAAGGAACAACGUAAGAAAAUAUAUAAGGAAUGUUGAAAAUAAAAAGAAUACAAAAAAAUAAAAUAAGGUUGGUCAUUUUAUUUAAUUUUGUUUAAAUUUAACAAAAAUAACUGUAGGUGAUAUUAGUUUUUUUAAAAUAAAAAAAGAAUGUGGGGGGGGGGGGGGGUGUAUUCAAUUUAAAAUUUGAGAUAAUUUGAUUUUUAAUAAGGUUUUAGAUGAUUUCAAUGAAUUGCAGAGUUAAGGGUGAUUUUUGUUAAAUUAUUCUAGAAUAUUACCUAAAACUAUGAAAUUUAAGUUUUAAUUUUUUAACUAAAGAAUUAUAUCUAAAUAUUCUAAAAUCACUUAAAACUUUAAAAUUCUAUAACUUAAAAAUAUUUCAAUAAUAGUGAAUUCCAGAGUAUUUCGUACAAUGUUAAGUUCAAUAAGGAUAGAUUUUAUAUGAGUUUUUUAAAAAAUUGUUUGAACAGGAGUGGAUUUGUCAGUACAAAUCGCCUAAAACUUUGAAUUGAAUGUAGUAAAAAAAAAGAACUUGUCAAAAAGAUGAUAGUUUCACACUAAGACAUUAUUAGACACGAGACAAAACGACAAGAUUACUUUAGUCAGAAAGAGAAGAAAGAAACUGACCGGCGCUUCUUCUCCAUCUCAUGGUCCUACGCAGCCUUUUCCCCUUCUCUCUCUGAGACCACCACCACCACGAGGAUCAUCAUAUUUUUCUUCUUCUUCAUCAUCAUCAUCAUCUUUUCCUCUAAAUUAACUAAAAUUAUUUUCCUCUCUUUAGUUCCCAAUCCCUUUUCGCCUUUCUCUCGGCGUUUCCUCAAAUUUAUGCUAUCCGUUUUUUUCCUCUUCAAAUUGCUUUGUGUGUAGGUGAGAGAUCUUCUUUACCUUUCUUCUUAUCUUAUACCCUUUGAUCACGAAAGUUUUGCAGUUAGUAUUUCAUUAGUCUUUUGGUUUUAUUCUGAUUUCACCUUCCGAUCUAAUUUUUAGGGAUUUCAGAAGGGUUUAAGAGUUUCAAAAUGGAUCUAAGUUUGUGUCCUUUGUUUUUUCUUCCAUGUCCUAAUCAAAACUCUUGAAAAGGUUAACAAAAAAAAAUUUGCUUCUGAUUUAAUUGCAAUAGAAUGGGAUUACCCAUCACUGUCUUUUUAAGUAGUUUGGGAACAAUAUUUCCUCAAACUCGAGUUAUCUUCUCUUGUCAGAAACUAUCUUGUUCGACU